This is a long non-coding RNA of Anguilla rostrata (American eel), 1440 nucleotides long. RefSeq lists it as uncharacterized. NCBI's taxonomy places the organism in Eukaryota, Metazoa, Chordata, Actinopteri, Anguilliformes, Anguillidae. The transcript is spliced from 4 exons. The record is from RefSeq and is a predicted model, not a curated record.
AGCUAAAACUAAUUGUACGCUGUGAUACUGAGUGAAUUCUACAUUUUUGUUUUAAUAAUUUCAUGACACUCGCAUACAUUGCCAAAAACGUAAAUAACAUGUAAUCUUAUUUUAGAUUCACCCUCGCACCAGACGUAACUAACCCGACUCUACUGUCUAAAAAAAAAAAAAAAAAAGCAAGAAACAACAAAUUUCUGAAAAGGAACCAGGAAAAGGAAUAAAGAUUAUCCUUGUUGAUGUGGUCAGUGUGAUGGCUGCCUUUGAGUCCAGGGAUAAUAACAGGAAGAGUUGACCUCGAUGUCGGCAUCACCAUGAUACUGCAUCAAACGCAGGAGGGCUUUGUCAGUCCCGCUACUCUCGGUCUGCGGCCCCUCCUUAACGUCAUGCAGAGGGCUGGAGGAGAGGACAGGAUGGAGAGAACAGAGCAGAGAGGGAGGGGGAGCAAAGACUGUGGUGCCGUCUGUUUAUCAGGACUGUAAGGGAGAAUUCCUGAUGGAGUGAUAAGGAAAACAGGCAAACAGAAUCAUAAAAAUAGAAAGAAUUCAAAUGAUGAGAGGGAGGGCGGAUGAAGGGAGGAAAGAAUUUUGUUGAACAUUUCAUGUUUAUGAACGUGUGUGUGUUGGACUCAUAUAAUUAUAUAAUAUAAUGUGACUCUCUCUGGUGCAGUUGUGGUUAGACCGCUAUUGUCUCCUGUCCCUUCACCUGGGUGAGAAUGUGCCAUGAGUGGCAGGCUUAGAAUUUUGGCUCUUGUUUUAAGAAUUCCAUUGUGUGGUUUCUGUUUUAGAUGCAUCGUGUUUAAUUUGCCUUGUGCUAUUCAAUUUCUGUUUGCACACAACAGCUCUGCUGACAUCCCUCAGCCCUGUUCAAUUCCAGCCAGAUGUUUUCAGCGGGAAACCACAUGACAAAUAACUGUACCCCAGAGUCAAUGCUACCAAGACCUCAUCUCUUAGUAGUUGAGUGUCAUAGUGAAGACCAAAUAAGCAAGAUCAUAAACAAACACAGAAUCAAAUAUUCUAGUACUAGUUUUACAGCUAUGCUUUCAUAUUCAGCAUGAUAAAAAUGUUGGCCUGGUCCCAGAAUUAAAAAAACAUAUCCUUUAUGCAAGGCAUUGUGUAGCCAAUGAGAUAUAGGGGAUGAUUUUGUGGCCUGAGAGAGCCAGUUUUAGUAGGAAACCAAGACACCUGGAUUAACACCCCUACUCUUUCAAAAAAAGUUCCAUGGGAUCUGUAAUGACCACAGAGAGUCACAACCUUAAUCUGAAGGAUGUUAAUGUUAACGUACUUCUUUGAGGAAACAGAGUGUGUAUCAGGCACUAGAUUUGUGGUAUCAGCGAAUGUUGUGGGAAGUGUGUAUAAAACAAUGCCUCAAGUGGAUAUUUAGAGCAGCAUUUUUCAAAGUGGGUGCCACAGCACUCUGGGGUAAUAGUGUGUUGUUCCUGAG